AUACUGCAAGUCGAGCGGACAGAAUGGGAGCUUGCUCCCUGAUGUUAGCGGCGGACGGGUGAGUAACACGUGGGUAACCUGCCUGUAAGACUGGGAUAACUCCGGGAAACCGGGGCUAAUACCGGAUGGUUGUUUGAACCGCAUGGUUCAAACAUAAAAGGUGGCUUCGGCUACCACUUACAGAUGGACCCGCGGCGCAUUAGCUAGUUGGUGAGGUAACGGCUCACCAAGGCAACGAUGCGUAGCCGACCUGAGAGGGUGAUCGGCCACACUGGGACUGAGACACGGCCCAGACUCCUACGGGAGGCAGCAGUAGGGAAUCUUCCGCAAUGGACGAAAGUCUGACGGAGCAACGCCGCGUGAGUGAUGAAGGUUUUCGGAUCGUAAAGCUCUGUUGUUAGGGAAGAACAAGUACCGUUCGAAUAGGGCGGUACCUUGACGGUACCUAACCAGAAAGCCACGGCUAACUACGUGCCAGCAGCCGCGGUAAUACGUAGGUGGCAAGCGUUGUCCGGAAUUAUUGGGCGUAAAGGGCUCGCAGGCGGUUUCUUAAGUCUGAUGUGAAAGCCCCCGGCUCAACCGGGGAGGGUCAUUGGAAACUGGGGAACUUGAGUGCAGAAGAGGAGAGUGGAAUUCCACGUGUAGCGGUGAAAUGCGUAGAGAUGUGGAGGAACACCAGUGGCGAAGGCGACUCUCUGGUCUGUAACUGACGCUGAGGAGCGAAAGCGUGGGGAGCGAACAGGAUUAAAUACCCUGGUAGUCCACGCCGUAAACGAUGAGUGCUAAGUGUAGUAUUU
Molecule: ribosomal RNA, 797 nt
Filed under: Bacillus subtilis
Lineage: Bacteria; Bacillati; Bacillota; Bacilli; Caryophanales; Bacillaceae
Description: bacterial SSU rRNA
Rfam family: Bacterial small subunit ribosomal RNA
Source: RNAcentral